AUGGCUCAACCAUGCCCCUAGCUCAUCACGUACUUCACCAGAUAUUAGUAAAUAGCAACUAUAGCCACACUAUAUUAGGCAUCUCACAUCACCAAGCAAUUAUUCAGGGGAGACUUGGAUGGACGGUGAUAACCAUAAGAGGUAUGCGGGGCAGGUAUGCUGGAAUAAACGCGUCGUCGAGAACAUAACUAUUGACAUUGUCAAGACCCUGAGAAUAAUACUGCCCUUGCUAGUGUGAUAAGAAUAAUCAUAUUCCUGCUGGGGUGGUCACGGGUACGAUCUCACUCGCCCUUGAUCGUAA
This 301-nucleotide long non-coding RNA is filed under the name Eucalyptus grandis. Its description in RNAcentral is "long non-coding RNA (EGRA_LNC007010)". Lineage: Eukaryota; Viridiplantae; Streptophyta; Magnoliopsida; Myrtales; Myrtaceae. The record is from RNAcentral.